Long non-coding RNA from Saccostrea cuccullata (small rock oyster), 752 nucleotides. RefSeq lists it as uncharacterized. The transcript has 2 exons. The record is from RefSeq and is a predicted model, not a curated record. NCBI's taxonomy places the organism in Eukaryota, Metazoa, Mollusca, Bivalvia, Ostreida, Ostreidae.
AUAUUUCAAUCAGCUCAUAGAAUUUUAUUAUGGUUAACCACAAUUAAAGGUGUUAAUUUUGGGGAGCCAUGGGCUGUAAUCUCUAGCAAUGAUUUACCAUACUUUUUUUUUUGGUAGCGUCUGUGCAAGAGGAGGAGAUUUCUGAAAAAGAAUAAGUGCUCAUUCAACUUACUGCGAUUUUAACGGGCUUAAAGCUUGGUCCAUGGAUGGUUAUGUUUGAGGAUUUGCCAAUUCGACCGCAAGUGCUGCUGCAAGAAAUUAAACAUGCAGAGACCUUACAAAUUACAAAGAAGUCUGAAGAAAAUUUUUAUUGGACAGAUGGGUGUAAAGCACAGACCUGAGAUAUAAAUUGAAUUGUGAGAAAUAUGAAUCAGGGAUGCAGGUAGAAAAUGGCAAAUGUGAUCCAGAUUGAUAAAAAAUGUCUAAAAUUUUUUCUUGUUUUGUAAAUAUUCAAUGCUAUGUCAAUUAUUUUUUCCCCAAUACCUAAUAGUGUUGAACAUUUCACUCCCACUUUUGCUUAAAUAGAAUGAAUAAAUUUCCAUUUAUUUAAUAUGAAUAUUAAAAAAUGCCACAUUUUUUCCAUGAUGAACUUGUGGCUUAAAUAAGAGUUCCAGUUUUUUUUCCAUACAUGCUCCUAUUUGUUUGUCAAAGAUAUAAGAUCCAAUACAUUGCUCAUGAACAUAAUGUGUAAUUUUGUUCAUUCAUUUAUAUGUUUUUUUCUCAUAAUGAUAUAAUAAAUUGUAUAUAAUUUU